Molecule: long non-coding RNA, 2859 nt
Organism: Ahaetulla prasina
Lineage: Eukaryota; Metazoa; Chordata; Lepidosauria; Squamata; Colubridae
Exons: 3
Source: RefSeq, a predicted model, not a curated record
AGAGGUUUUUUUUUUAUUUGUAGUUUAGGAAGUUUUAAAUUUAGCUGCUUUUAUCUAAAAAUAAAAAUAAAAUAAUAAAAUAAAUAUUUGUGCAGCUUUCUGAGAUUUGGUGUGUUUUUGUAAUGUUUCACUACAAAACUACACAAACACACAAAAUCCCACAAAGCUGUAUGUGGUAUUUUGUGUGUGUAAAGUGUAAAAUUUGUUUUUGGGGCUUUUUGUGGCUGUGUGCGGUUCCUGCUUGUUGCAGGGGCCAUUUUGGGUCAAGCACAACUGUUUAUACGUUGUGGUGAGUCUUUUGUGUUGUGUUGUGUAUAAAGUGUAAAAGUUGUUUUUUGGGCUUUUUGCGGCUGUGUGCAGUUCCUGCUUGUUGCAGGGGCCAUUUUGGAUCAAGCACAGCUGCUUUUAUGUUGUCGUUGAGUCUGUUGUGUUGUGUUGUGUGUGUGUGUAAAGUGUAAAAGUUGUUUUUUGGGAUUUUUGUGGCUUUUGUGUGCUUUUACAUUGUGUGUCAUCGGCUAACAAAGCUCCUUUUUUCCUUUUUGCAAUAGCUGCUGCCUUUAAGAGGAAGGAUGAAAAGGCAACAGACUUUGAUGGGUUUCUUGGCCAAGAAACCAAAACUUGAACAACAACCAGCAGAAGUGGAACAAGAACCAUCCCCAGUGCCACAAGCGCUACCACCUGAAACCGGAUAAAACAGCAAAGCAAGUAUAGAGUCACCCGCUGCACCUAAAAUCGGAACCAUUCUUCCAGACUGCUGGACAGUACAGCUACUUCCAAAAGAAGUAUGACGGGUUAGAAGUUUCAAACAAGAAACUAGGUUGUAAAUACUGUGCUAAACAUGGCUUCACUAUGGAGAGCGGUAUUCAUGUAAGCAAAGAGUGGAAGCUUUUCAAGAUUGAGCCAGCUGGGAAAAACAAGGAAGUGCACCAGGCGUCUCUACAGAAGAAAAUGAGACAAUAUUUUAUAUUGAAAUUGCACACAUUUUUAGAGACAACGUCAAACAAACUGAGCAGGAAGCCAUAACAAAAGCAAUGGACAAGAUUUCUGAAAUGCAAUUUGCCACCACUUCUAAAAUGUUCAAAACUGUUUACAGCCUGGCGAAAGCAUGCAGACCAAUUUCAAGAAUCGAGGAAUUGAUAGAAUUACAAACUGAAAAUGGGCUAGAUCUGGGAAUAGGGUUGCAUUCAAGACCAUCAGUUGUCAAAAUAGUUGAGUGCAUUGCAAACGAAAUUAAAACCUAAAUGUUUUCCAGCAUCAUUGCACAGAAUCUGAAAAUAUGUCUAAUCAUUGAGGAAGCCUCAACAGUAUCCUGCAAACCAGUUCUGAUAGUUUUCUUAAAAGUUGAGGACUCAAAGGACCCAUCAACAAUUUUUGUCGAGCUGGUUGAAUUGAAGAAACAAGAUGCAGAAACAAUAUGUUCUGCAAUUUUUGAAAGUUUACAUAAGGUUGGAUUUACCCGGGACUACCUACAAAAAAAUUUAAUAGCGUUCUGCUCUGAUGGUGCCAGCAUUAUGCUUGGGAGAAAAUCUGGAGAGAGCACCAGAAUAGCCAAAGAGUUUCCAAACAUCAUCAUAUGGCACUGCUUGAACCAUCAACUUGUUUUAGAUGACACCAUAAAGGAAAUAAAGCAAGUAAAUCAUUUUAAAAUUUUCAUUGAUAUACUCCAUUUUCCAGCAAUCGAAUAAAAACAGAAUUGAACUUGACAAAAUAUCUGAAGAACUUGAAAUUAACAUCAUAAGGAUUGGUCGAGUUUUUGGGCCAAGAUGGGCUGCCUGUAGUUUAAGGCCAACCAUAGCUGUGUGGCGUGCUUAUCCUGUGCUACAUCAAUAUUUUGAUGCAAAUGCAAAAUACUCGGGUAUGGAAAAUAAACAUUUCUUAAGUUAUUUGGCGUUGAUGAUAGACAUUUUGGAAGAAAUUUCACUUCUUUCAACUGCACUGCAAGCACGCAAUACGGACAUAAUAAAAGCUGAAAAACUGGUGAGAAGAUCAAUAAAGGCAUUUGAACUGCUAACAAAGGAAAAGGACCCAUACGAAAAACAAGUUGAAGGACUAAUUACCUCAGAAACCUUCAGGAAUAUAAAGUUCAUAGAAAACAAUCGAUUUGUUGGUCUUUAUCAAGAAAGACUUUUACAAAGUAUCAUCAAAAAUUUGUGUAAACGACUGAUGGACUGUGAGCAUUUAAAAACUGAGAACCAACUGCAAAUAAACUACAGUUUCUAAGUUUUUGGUGCCAGAGUACUGGGAUGUUGAGGAAAUAGUCGUUCCAUGGGCAGCAGCUGAAGAACAACUGCACAUAUUUAGUGACAUUUUCAACUACCAAAUUGACCUCAAUGACUACAGAGAUUUUGUGGAGAAUGUCUUGAAAGAUUCGAAGAGGUAUGCAAUUCCUGACAGUAUCAAAAAAGCAAUAGAUAUUGUCAGAACAAUUGCAGUGAGUUCUACAGAAGCAGAAAGGGGUUUUUCUAAAAUGAACCUGAUAUGUUCAGAGAGCAGAAGUCCUCUAGCCAUUUCCAAUCUAACCAACCUCAUGACCAUCACCGUUACUGGACUACCUCUUCCAAAAUGGGACCCUAUUCCGGCAGUGAAAAAAUGGUUCAGAGAACACCAUUGCUCAGCCAAUGAUCCGCGCAUCAAAUGCAAGAAAAGUGGAAGUGAAGAGAGUGCCACUGAAAUAGCUAUGUGGAAACGUCUCAUAGAUAAAGACGACUAACAGUUUUAUGUCGUUAUUAUCCUUGGUUCAAGACAACACUUUUAUUGCUCUUCUCUCCAAAAAAGCCAAAGAAGUGAUGUUGACUUGGCCACACCCACCAGUCACCUGACCACCAAGCCACACCCACCCAGUCACCAAGCCAUGCCCAC